Molecule: ribosomal RNA, 448 nt
Filed under: uncultured bacterium
Lineage: Bacteria
Description: bacterial SSU rRNA
Rfam family: Bacterial small subunit ribosomal RNA
Source: RNAcentral
ACUCCUACGGGAGGCAGCAGUUGGGAAUAUUGGACAAUGGGGGAAACCCUGAUCCAGCAAUCCCGCGUGAGUGAUGAAGGCUCUAGGGUCGUAAAGCUCUUUCAAGCAGGGAAGAAGAUCUGACGGUACCUGCAGAAGAAGCACCGGCUAACUCCGUGCCAGCAGCCGCGGUAAUACGGAGGGUGCAAGCGUUGUUCGGAAUUAUUGGGCGUAAAGCGCGUGUAGGCGGCCAGGUAAGUCUGAUGUGAAAGCCCAGGGCUCAACCCUGGACGUGCAUUGGAUACUGUCUGGCUAGAGGGCGAGAGAGGAAAGUGGAAUUCCUGGUGUAGGGGUGAAAUCCGUAGAUAUCAGGAGGAACAUCUGUGGCGAAGGCGACUUUCUGGCUCGUUACUGACGCUGAGACGCGAAAGCGUGGGGAGCAAACAGGAUUAGAUACCCUGGUAGCGAG